UACGGAGGGUGCAAGCGUUAUCCGGAUUCACUGGGUUUAAAGGGUGCGUAGGUGGGUUAGUAAGUCAGUGGUGAAAUCUUCGAGCUUAACUCGGAAACUGCCAUUGAUACUAUUAGUCUUGAAUAUUGUGGAGGUUAGCGGAAUAUGUCAUGUAGCGGUGAAAUGCUUAGAUAUGACAUAGAACACCAAUUGCGAAGGCAGCUGGCUACACGAAUAUUGACACUGAUGCACGAAAGCGUGGGGAUCAAACAGG
Molecule: ribosomal RNA, 253 nt
Filed under: uncultured bacterium
Lineage: Bacteria
Description: partial 16S ribosomal RNA
Rfam family: Bacterial small subunit ribosomal RNA
Source: RNAcentral